AAAGAUUAAGCCAUGCAUGUCUAAGUAUAAGCAAUCUAUGCAGUGAAACUGCGAAUGGCUCAUUAAAUCAGUUAUCGUUUAUUUGAUAGUACCUUACUACUUGGAUAACCGUGGUAAUUCUAGAGCUAAUACAUGCUAAAAACCCCGACCUCUGGAAGGGGUGUAUUUAUUAGAUAAAAAACCAAUGCCUUCGGGCUCCUUGGUGAUUCAUGAUAACUUUACGAAUCGCAUGGCCUUGCGCCGGCGAUGGUUCAUUCAAAUUUCUGCCCUAUCAACUUUCGAUGGUUGGAUAGUGGCCUACCAUGGUUU
Molecule: ribosomal RNA, 309 nt
Filed under: uncultured fungus
Lineage: Eukaryota; Fungi
Description: SSU rRNA
Rfam family: Eukaryotic small subunit ribosomal RNA
Source: RNAcentral